RNA transcript from Folsomia candida, 4747 nucleotides. RefSeq lists it as uncharacterized. The transcript is spliced from 9 exons. The record is from RefSeq and is a predicted model, not a curated record. Lineage: Eukaryota; Metazoa; Arthropoda; Collembola; Entomobryomorpha; Isotomidae.
UUUCAAGAUUACCUUGGCCAGUAUUCAGUUCACAUUUGUAUACCAAUUCCAGAUGUGCAAUCAACCUAAAAAUUUCGCAAAUCGGUAAAAUGAAUAGUAAAAACGAAUCCCUGAAGGAAGCUGUUUUUCGACUUUUUCCACCUUCAGGACCAUACAGCACAGAAGAGGAGGAAGCAAUUAAGGAAUUUUACAAUUUGGUGGACGACGACACAGAUUUACAAGAGUGGAAGAAAUAUGCUCCUGAAUCGGUUGUUAUUUUUUGCCUAAGAGUUUGCCAAUUAGAAGUGAGGGCUAUGUAUGAACUUGUCCGGUCUAUUUAUCGAGUUGCCAUGGUAAAUUUUCCAGAUUUAUUUGCACGCCUGAACCCCAAAGCCAUGCCAUCCAUUGCGGAUCGUGGCAUAUUUCAGAUUAUGAAAAGAAACAAGGAGGAUGAAGGACCGGCGGUACUUGUGCUUCGAAUAAACAGAUGGGAUCCUUCAAAAGCUAUCUUGGACGACGUAUUAUUUUUUACCUUUAUCCUUUACGUAUUUGCCGCAAGGCUCUCGCCAGAAAUGCAGCGGGCCGGAAUACUUUCAAUUGUUGAUAUGCGUGGGUUAAGAUUGGCACAUGUCCGACAUCUCAGUACUAUGGAUCUUGUCAAAAAGGCGGCCCUUAUUUCAUUAAAAGUUCCCAUCAAGUUAUCCACCAGGAUUGUUAAGGGAUGCGUACUUGUGAACAGUAAUGCUCUCGUUGUUCGUACUUUUCACGCCUUCAAAUGGCUAAUCCCAAAAAAGUUAAGGAAGAAAAUCGAACUAACUCAAUCGGAUAUGUCAUACAUAACAAAUUUGAAGGAUCCGUCCACCCUUCCGGUAGAGUUUGGUGGUGUCAUUGACGAUACAGAAGCAUACAUUGAAGACCUCGCCAAUAACUUAAUGUCCGAUAAAAAACUAGUGCCUGCCAUGCAGCAUCUGCAACAUGAAAUUCUACGACAUAAUGGAUAUUUGAAAAUUAAUUAGUAUUACAUAGUUGCUAAAAUUUAUGUCAAAAUAUAUUCUGUAUGCAAUUGUUUUUACUAGAAAUGAAUGUGAUAUUUCUUUUGACGUGUUAUAAAUAUUUUUUUAUUCUUGUACAUAUGUAUUUAGAUGCUUUGAUUAAAUUCCAUCUUGUGUUAUGCACAUGUAUAUACUUCAGAUAUGUGUGCAGUAGCAUGUAUUUAUAUAAGUUAACGGACGUGCAAAUAUGUAUAUCUAUCACACAUACUUACAUAAUGUAAGAAUCGUCAAUUUCCAAAUGACAUGUAAUGGAUUAAUUAUUUUCAACUGAUUUGUUUGGAUUUUGUAUGAAUUUUCAAUUCAUGAGGGGUUAUCUUUUCAUCCCCUUUACCCAUUAUGCAAAACAUUUGCAAUUACAUUGUACAAACCUAUUUUAAAUUCUGAGCACUAUAAAUAUGUCAAAUACAAUAUGGUACCUUGACAAACAUAUUUGCUAAAAUUUAAAUUAUGCUCCUAUACGUAAGCUUAGGUCAUAAUUCAUUAUAAUUCAUUCCUGAUUUAGUAAAUGUUGCCUAACUCAAUCAAGUAUAUAUGUCAAAUCCAGUUAUAAGUGUAUGUAUGUGAAAAGGUGUUAUUUGCGCAAUUUACUCAAUUUGGUAUUAUUAAUUUGUUCUAGCUAAUUAAUGAGGUCGGAAGUAUAUAUAAAUUUUUGGUUUAGUGUAAGGCAUAUGAUUGUAUGUAUCAUUAAAAAUUGUAAAAUGUUUGUCUUCGCGCAUAGAUUAUGAGUUAUUCAGUAAUUAGUAAUUUUCCCUUAUAAAAUUGGUAUAAAUCGGAAAAAUUUAUUAUCGGAAACAUAAUUUGAAAUUGACAUAUAUAAUAGAUAAUAAUGUCGUAGAUAAUAUAAAAAUAUAAAAACUUUGUAUUCGCGACCAGUUUUUGAAUUAUAAAGUAAUUUAGGUAAUUAAGAUAGCAUAAGGAAGUAUAGUAGCAAGUAACCCCAAACUGUGAGGAGCGAGUUAUGAGAGGUACUGCGUCGGGUAAGAGACAGAGGAGACGGCAUGGCUGACUCUGCGGGGAGAGGGGAAGGAGUCCGGAGGCACGGAAAGGGUGCUCCGGGAAUUAAUUGUUAGAAUUGGUAGGAAUUUUUGUGAAAAUUAGAAUUGUUUUGUGAAUUGAUUGAGAGUGUGAAUGUUCGUCAAUAAAUUGUGCUGAAGAUAAAGUCCUGAUUUGAGUAUAAGAGGGUUUAUUAUAAAGUUUGGAAUUGAGGACAAGCAGAUUAGUGUGAGAAGUAGUUAUCAUCCCCUUCAUCAAACUCGAACUGUAACACGGCACAGUCAACAUACGGCGACUUCUUGCAGACGGGUAGUUUGCAUGGAUAGUUUCCAGUGGGUGAGGUUACGCGAUCCCACAAUAUACAUAAACUAUUGCGGUCUGGUGGAAUGGAUAUGUACUAUGUACAUAUGCUCAAGCACAACAUAUAUAAAAAACUAUAUCUUUCAUCAGAUCUCAUAAUUAUUUAUGAUUUUCAUACUUUGCUUGUUUCCAAUUGGGAUUUCUAAGUAAUUGUGUAAAAAAAUCUUUCUUCAUUAAACGCAAUCGCUUCUGGAAUUAAUGACCAGUAAAACCAUAUCUAUUGUGGGAAACGAAUAAAUCGCAAAUGAGAUGUUUGUUUCUAUUAUACUCAUUGUUACCUACAUACAACAUUUUUAUAUCGCAGAGCUCAUGGAUUCUGUAGGUAUUGACCAAUAUACAAUUAAAUGUGUUUACUAUUUUGUAUGCAUAUAAGUUAAAAGUUCUUAACAAAUUGUAUGGGGAUUAACUAAAGAGGUGUUAUCUGAGUCGAAUAUCGGUUCUACAUACAUAUUUCACCAUACCAACUAAUGUUGGCAGGUCUGUGUAUAUACAUAUUUAUAUAUUUGAACGAACAUUUCUGUACAGAUUCCCAUUAUGUGUAAAUUUGCUUGCACGUAUACACUAUCUCACUAUCACAAUGGUAUACAUUGCAAUUUACAUUAACUUGAAUUAGUGUAGCACCUGAAUUUUUUAAAUCAUUUUCUCUAAAGAAAUAUGGAAACUUUAAGAACAUCUACGUCUAGUUGCUUGUGCAAUGUUAUGAAAAAACUAUUUGUAAUUAUUAUCACAAUAAUAGUCAUUUCAGUACCAAUCCCUGUGUUGUUUUUUCUACCUCGUUCGUCAAACGGUUGCCGUGCUCGGAAAUUUUUUACUUGGUCUUAAAAUGGUUCCAUGGUUCGACUCCUGCCUCGCUGGAGAAAACGUUUAUAGUACGAAAGCCCUCACAAUGUCGGUGACCUUUGUAACAGACAUUCCAUCUAUACAAAGGGAAGGAGUAAUGCAGAAGGUGCAGGAAAAUUUGCUAGAAAAACGAGAUAGUGAAGGAAAUUUGCAAUUUCCUGAAUUAAAGUGUUCCCUUCGUCCGUUCCUGGGAUAUUUAUUUUGGAAGCCUGUUGGAAAGUUUAAACUUGAGGAUCACGUGAUUAACUAUGAAGAUACAAAGCUUUCACCUCCGGAUUGGUCUGAUCCUGACGCCCUAAGAAAAAUAACAAGCGAGACGUUGAGAUGUCGCUGUUGGAAGAAAAGUGCACCAUUGUGGGAAAUCAUACUUUUAAAUAAUAUUCCCAAAUCACAUUUGCCAAAAAAUUCUGGCAACGGUUCACUCUUUAUUUGGCGAUUUCACCACGUCCUGAUGGAUGGUUAUGGAACAUUCAAGGUUUUGAUGCAAUUAUUUGGCAAGUUUGACAAAGUAGGGGAUUCAGCCGUUCCGUCGUCUGUGUCAAUAUAUGAUGAAAAAAUGACCUGGGGUAAACUUCAAUCAAUUAGCGUUGCACCAUUCAAACGUGCAGAGAUUUGGCUCCCGCUGAUUCGAUGUCCUUUAAAAAUUCCGCCAAUUUUUAAUGGCAAUGGGAACAAAAUACUUUCCCACGGAACAGUAAAAUUUCCCUUAGUUGACCUCAAAGCUAUCAGAAUGAAGCACAAUGUCGACCUAACAUCAAUUUUAGUUGCCAUCAUUUCUGGUGGGGUUCGACGAUUCCUGCUCAAAUAUGAUCAAGAUCUUCCCAAUAAAUUGGGAAUAAUGUGCCCCAUGCUGAUGCCAAAUCAUCCAGAUAAAUUAACAAAUUAUGUAAGUGGAGGAGUGUUUCUAUACCAUUGCGGGAAUCAAAUAAUAUCAACCGGAUGCGCGACAUAUCGGUUGCUUCUUUAACUCUCAGAAAUAAGGGCAUCAUACCACUGAAUCAUUUUAUUACAAAACUUCCCGGGUUGUUCCAACAGUUUGUGAUUUUGACAUACCGUAAUUUGUUUUCACUUCCUCCCCUCUUUUUGACAAACUUGGUUGGCCCCAUAGAAAAAUUGUCGUUUGAUGACAUCUCAAUUACGGAUAUUAAGGUGGGAGUUAAUAUCUGCCACAGGAUCUGCCACAGGAUGGGCCUCGAGGUUUUUGCUUCGCAUUUCUUACGUAUGAAGGACAAGGUAACAUAGCAGUUUCUGGAUUCAAUGAGUAUUUGGAAUCAAACCAGCAUGCCGAUGAACUUUUAGAAUAUUGCAUGAAAGAAAUGAAGGAGUUGGAGUUGUGUAAAGGAAACAUUGCCAAUUUAUUUAUUUGCUAAGUUGCAAAAUUGUGUGUUUCUUGUUUGCGAAUCUUACGUCGUUCAACUUUCUCGCACAUAUAUAGUUGGAGAACAAAUAUGUGAAUAAAGUUUUUUUUUUACUUUAGCAUGUCCACUGGAACAGAAAACUUAAGAGAAUAUGUAUACAAAUUG